This is a long non-coding RNA of Ochotona curzoniae (black-lipped pika), 769 nucleotides long. RefSeq lists it as uncharacterized. The record is from RefSeq and is a predicted model, not a curated record. The transcript has 4 exons. Lineage: Eukaryota; Metazoa; Chordata; Mammalia; Lagomorpha; Ochotonidae.
AGUUGGGGAAGUGAGGGCUUUGCGUCAGAUCCGCCCGGCCUGAGCAAACUGGUUGGUCAGGCCGUCUUAUUCGGCCCUGGGAGCGGCUGCUCCUGGAUAGAGGUGAUGAGCAGCAAGGAAUGAGGCUCUGAGGUACCUUCUCUCAUUGCCAGCUCCAGGAAGUGUCCCAACUCCAGGGACACUUGCCUAGGAGAUGCCAAGUGGUACCCCGCCCCACCCCAGACCCUUAGAGACGAGGCUGUUGAGCCGGUCAGCAGUGUGCUGCAGUGACCCACAGAGGAGACAAAAUUCUCCCUCCCCACGUGCAGGAGCUCACAGCAAGAGGCGUCUGUGGCCAGCAGCGAGCGAGCCCUGGCUGGAUUCCCCAGCAGCUGGCCUCGGCCUCCCCAGCUCUGCCGACUGUGUCCUGGCAGCCCCAGCAGCAGCCACAGGCCAGGCUCCACCUAACUUCCUUCCUUCCAGCCCUGCUCUGUCUGCUCUGCCACGCCUCUCCUGCCACAGGGCAAAGGAAGGAAGCCACCUCGGUGGGUUCGUGUCUCACAUGGAAGAGGAAUUUCCACAUGGACAGUCAUGUGAAGGUGUGGCUGAGAGCUGCUUGCCUGCUCGUGAUUAACUAAACCCUCCGACUGAGCGGAGCUUGGUGUUUUGUCAUCUCAAGGCAACUUCUGGACCCUGGACUCACUUGUUGCAGGAGACGCUGCUUGGAAAUUCGUCACACAGGAGGCAAUAUGGCGCUCCCUCUGUUUGUGGCCUGGGAAAGCAGUAGAGG